CAGCAGCCACGGUAAUACGAAGGGCGCAAGCGUUAAUCGGAAUUACUGGGCGUAAGCGUGCGUAGGCGGUUUCUUAAGUCUGCUGUGAAAUCCCCGGGCUCAACCUGGGAAUGGCAGUGGAUACUGGGAGGCUAGAGUGUGUCAGAGGAUGGUGGAAUUCCCGGUGUAGCGGUGAAAUGCGUAGAGAUCGGGAGGAACAUCAGUGGCGAAGGCGGCCAUCUGGGACAACACUGACGCUGAGGCACGAAAGCGUGGGGAGCAAACAGGAUUAGAUACCCCUGUAGUCCCUGUCUCUUAUACA
RNAcentral lists this ribosomal RNA (301 nucleotides) under uncultured bacterium. RNAcentral describes it as "partial 16S ribosomal RNA". It matches the Rfam family "Bacterial small subunit ribosomal RNA", at positions 509 to 808 of the family's 1533-position model. The record is from RNAcentral.